RNAcentral lists this ribosomal RNA (253 nucleotides) under uncultured bacterium. RNAcentral's name for it is "partial 16S ribosomal RNA". It matches the Rfam family "Bacterial small subunit ribosomal RNA", at positions 524 to 776 of the family's 1533-position model. The record is from RNAcentral.
CACGUAGGGGACGAGCGUUGUCCGGAUUUAUUGGGCGUAAAGAGCGUGUAGGCGGCCAUGUAGGUCCGUUGUGAAAACUCGAGGCUCAACCUCGAGACGCCGAUGGAAACCAUGUGGCUAGAGUCCGGAAGAGGAGAGUGGAAUUCCUGGUGUAGCGGUGAAAUGCGCAGAUAUCAGGAAGAACACCCGUGGCUAAGGCGGCCCUCUAGUACGGUACUGACGCUGAGACGCGAAAGCGUGGGGAGCGAACAGG